CCCUGCCUUUUGUACACACCGCCCGUCGCUCCUACCGAUUUCGAGUGAUCCGGUGAACCUUUUUGACUGCGCGUAACCCAUACUCAUUUGUGCGGAAAAUCAAGUAAACCAUAUCCCCUAGAAGAAGGAAGGAGGUCGUAACAAGGUUUCCG
RNAcentral lists this ribosomal RNA (152 nucleotides) under uncultured eukaryote. Its description in RNAcentral is "partial small subunit ribosomal RNA". It matches the Rfam family "Eukaryotic small subunit ribosomal RNA", at positions 1651 to 1805 of the family's 1831-position model. The record is from RNAcentral.